Molecule: ribosomal RNA, 558 nt
Filed under: Phacaspis mitis
Lineage: Eukaryota; Metazoa; Arthropoda; Insecta; Diptera; Dolichopodidae
Description: eukaryotic LSU rRNA
Rfam family: Eukaryotic large subunit ribosomal RNA
Source: RNAcentral
ACAUGGAGCUUCCAUUGGUACAGAUCUUGGUGGUAGUAGCAAAUAAUCGAAUGAGACCUUGGAGGACUGAAGUGGAGAAGGGUUUCGUGUGAACAGUGGUUGAUCACGAGUUAGUCGGUCCUAAGCUCAAGGCGAAAGCCGUAGAAAUGUAUAAAGUUUUACCAGUCUAGUAUAUAUAUAUAAUUUUUUAUAAAUUAGAUAUAUAUACACUCGGUAUAUAAUAUACUUUAUAUAUAUAAUUGAGCGAAAGGGAAUACGGUUCCAAUUCCGUAACCUGUUGAGUAUACGUUUGUAAUAAAUAUGGUCAUUAUGAUCAUCCUGGUAACAGAAACAAUCAUAGAGAAGCCGUCGAGAGAUAUCGGAAGAGUUUUCUUUUCUGUUUUAUAGUUGUAUUACCAUGGAAGUCUUUCGAAGAGAGAUAUGGUAAAUGAACUAGAAGAGCAUGGCAUUUACUGCUGUGUCGAUAUUUUCUCCUCGGACCUUGAAAAUCUAUGAUUGGGCCACGCAAACUUCUCAACAGGCCGUACCAAUAUCCGCAGCUGGUCUCCAAGGUGAAGA